GGGUGCAAAGCUUUGAACUCAGAAAAAGGAAGACGAAGCAUUAUAAAGAUAAUAUCUAAAGUUAUCAAAAAGAAAAGUUAUAAGUUUCAAAUUUAUUACUUAUUGUUAAAUAUUAAUUUAAGUUAUAACUUAUGUCUAGUAUAGUCUAGAUGAUUACAAAUCUGUACUAGUAGCAGAGACGCAGAGACACUAAGCUAAAGAUAUGAUUUUUUUAGCUUCUCUUAAAUAGUGAUGUGACUUGACAAGAGAAAAUGAGAAAUAAACAUAAAUAAAUAAAGAACAUG
This 284-nucleotide long non-coding RNA is filed under the name Trifolium pratense (red clover). RNAcentral's name for it is "long non-coding RNA (TPRA_LNC011165)". Lineage: Eukaryota; Viridiplantae; Streptophyta; Magnoliopsida; Fabales; Fabaceae. The record is from RNAcentral.